Molecule: ribosomal RNA, 433 nt
Filed under: uncultured bacterium
Lineage: Bacteria
Description: partial 16S ribosomal RNA
Rfam family: Bacterial small subunit ribosomal RNA
Source: RNAcentral
AACGAACGCUGGCGGCAUGCCUAACACAUGCAAGUCGAACGAGACCUUCGGGUCUAGUGGCGCACGGGUGCGUAACGCGUGGGAACCUGCCCUUAGGUUCGGAAUAACUCCCCGAAAGGGGUGCUAAUACCGGGUAAUGUCUUCGGACCAAAGAUUUAUCGCCUUUGGAUGGGCCCGCGUUGGAUUAGCUAGUUGGUAGGGUAAAAGCCUACCAAGGCGACGAUCCAUAGCUGGUCUGAGAGGAUGAUCAGCCACACUGGGACUGAGACGCGGCCCAGACUCCUACGGGAGGCAGCAGUGGGGAAUAUUGGACAAUGGGCGAAAGCCUGAUCCAGCAAUGCCGCGUGAGUGAUGAAGGCCUUAGGGUUGUAAAGCUCUUUUACCCGGGAUGAUAAUGACAGUACCGGGAGAAUAAGCUCCGGCUAACUCCGUG